UAGCAGAUUAAUGGAUGGAAAAUGUAAUGGAUGUAUUAUAUUGAAAUAAAAUAGUACUUGAGGUAUGAACAUGAAAUGUUUUAAAGAUGUUGUAUGGGGUUGUAAUACACCUCAAACCUGAGGGGGUAUUAUGUAAUUUACCCAUUUUAAAAGAAAUGGGUAUAAAAGACACUGUAAAAGAGUUUGGUUAAUUUUAUUCUAAAAAUAAUAUAAUUGUAAAUAAUAACAACAGUGGACAUGGUAGUGAGAUGGUGGCGAUGACGACAAUGGCGAGGGCAGGAGUGGUAAUGGUGGUGAUGCUGGCGGUAGUGGUGAAGGAAAUAUUUGUGAAAACAAGUUUAUUUAAGCAACAUCUACAACAUGCAAUUAACAAUUAAAGGCGGAAUCAUGCUUGUAUGCACUCAAAAACAAAAUUUUACCUAUGAAAUUCAAAGCCUAGUAGUUGGGUGAACCAAGACUCAACUCGAGAACAAAGUGAGUUGAGAAAUAUUAUACCUUUGUUGAUUUCUCUUUGCAUAAGCAAAGGCUAAUCACCCAAGAGAUAGGGGCCUUCAUUCCUUACUUCUUUGCUCCAUGGAUUUCUUGAAAGAGGAUGGUGGAAUGGAUUCUCCAAGUUCCCAAGAAAAGGAACCUCUAUGUCCCCACACCAAGGACAACACUGAUGAGGAGAUGAGUAACCUAGGAAGAUUUAGAUGCUAGUAAAACCUUCCUAGGGUGGCUGGCCUCUUAGAGAGAAAAGGGAGUUUAUGUUCUCAUCUUUUCUCCAAAAGAAACCCUAAAGAUGAAAUGGCUAUAAAGUUGCCUUUAUACCACCUCACAAUGGAGUGGCAAACUUGUAAUUAAGCCAAGUUCACUACACCUCUCUAUAUGGCCGGGCAUUAAGGGUUCAUUGGGCUUUCAAGCCCUUUGUGUUUUCAAGUUUUCAUACAACUUGAGUUAAUUGGCUUGACAUUCAAAUCCCAUUGGGCCUUACGGCCCAAAACUAACCCGAGGUCUAUAACGAACAUAUUCGUUUGAUUAUUUAACAUAUUAAUUAAUCCUAGCUAUAAAUAAUUAAACCAUUUAAUUAUCCUUACUCAUCUCUGUUGUUUCUUCAAUCUCUACCUUACUCGGUGUAUGAUCCAUUAAGUUCCUUUUAGUGAGGCAAUGGGCGAUUGUUACUCUUAACGAUCGAUUGUGAAUUGAAACAUACUUUCAAUUCUCCCUUUAGUGAUUACUCACCUUUAGGGCUUCCACAAACCAUGAGUGACACCUAGCAGUAUGUCAUGGCUAACCAAGCUAAUCAGAAGAGGUGGAGAACCUAUUCAGUUUAGGAUUACAAUGCAAUAUGGUCUUUCUCUAAUACAAUACUCUUUACCACAUUGUUUUGGUUUGAUAGUUUAUUCAUGUCUUCUAUCCAAUGUGAUUCUCUUACUAUAUGAUUACCUUGAAUAUGAUUUGGAACGACUUCCUAAAUCUCAUUGAUACUCUGACUAGAAUUCUUAAUCAUAUCAUAGAGCAUUCUCCCUUAAACGGUUUGAAGGUUAGAGAUCCCUUGCUACGCAUUCACUUGUCUCUAUGGCUAAGUGGCUUAACCCCAACUAUGUCGUGGACACCCUCUGAUGGAGUGACUUUGACAUAGUCAAAGAUCAAGAACCUAACCACAAGACAACUAUAAUGCCUCAGGUCAAAUGACUACUUUGCAUUAUCCCAACCAUGAGUUCUCAUGUGACAUGAGUAUGAGAACUCCCUGUUAAUCGUGUUCAGUGGACUCAUUCUCUACUGAGCACCUACAUGUUUGUCUUGUGUCAGUCACACCAAUGACUCGAGACCAUUCACUUUCCCUAAGAGAAGACAUAACACGUACUGAUCUUAACGGACUAUCAAUGCCCAAUUGGCAAUCCUAUGAUCAUGAACGUUUAUGAUAUGUAUACAAAAGAGAAUGGUCUCAUGAAUCUAACUUCUUUAGAUCACAUUCUCCCAAUUACAUAUUCCUUGAACUUAUCAUUUAAGCAUAUAACAUUUAUAUGAGAUGGCUUCAAACAAUAAUCUUUGCCCUUUAUAUUAAACUAGAUUAGUUUAACAUGUGAAAUGUCUGUAAGGUAUCAUCAUAUGAUUGGUUUUAGGACACAUUUCCAACAAUCUCCCAUGCACUAGAGCCAAUUAGCUUGGUCAUUAGUGAUGAUACCUCUUCUGAAUUCAUUUCAUAAAUAGCUGAGUAGUAGGCCUACACAAUGGAUAUCUAUAUGUUAUCCAUAGAAGCAACCUUGAGAAUAACAACGUCACCAUUAUACAUGAUUCCCAAUCAUGUGGUUCAAUCUCUCAUUUAAGUUCAGAUCUUGAUGAGACCUUGAUUCCUUGGCUUGAGCUAUUUCCCCAUUAGUGUCAUAGUGUCGAUACACUAGAGACACUUUCUGGUUGGAACCGAAUGGAAAAUUCAUAAACUUUCCCAUCCAAACAACAUUGUUCUAAGCUUCUAUAUGGCGAUAUAUUUUGCAUGUAUAAUAGAACACGCUAAGUCACUGCUUAUAACGUUUCCAUCCAAAUAUCUCUUUUAGUCAUAAUAAAGAGAUAUCCAAUUAUCUCUUCAUUCAAAAUGAAGAGACAUCCAAUGACAGAUACAAUAGUAUAUUCAUAAUCUAAUACAUUUACGCUUCCAUUGUGUUACUCUAAUUCUUCCUCAUUCUUGACAAAUCUAUCUUUUAGUGUUUCUUAAAUACUUAAGGACUCACUUAACAAUUGUCGUGGUUCUGAUCCUGGGCUUGCACUGAUAUCAUCUUGUACUGUUCUAUGUAUAACUCAUAUCAAUGUUUUGUUGGAAAUGUGCCCUAAAACCAAUCAUAUGAUGAUACUUUACAGACAUUUCACAUGUUAAACUAAUCUAGUUUAAAAUAAAGGGUAAAGAUUAUUGUUUGAAGUCGUCUCAUAUAAAUAUUAUAUGCUUAAACGAUGAGUCCAAGGAAUAUGUAAUUGGGAGAAUGUGAUCUAAAGAAGUUAGAUUCAUGAGACCAUUCUCUUUCGUAUACAUAUCCUAGACGUUCCUGAUCAUAGGAUUGCCAAUUGGGCAUUGACAGUUCGUUAAGAUCAGUACGUGUUAUGUCUUCUCUUAGAGAGAGUGAUUGGUCUUGAGUCAUUGGUGUGACUGACACCAAGACAAGCAUGUAGGUGCUCAAUAGAGAAUGAGUCCACUGAACACAAUCAACAAGGAGUUCUCAUACUCAUGUCACAUGAGAACUCAUGGUUGGGAUAAUGCAAAGUAGUCAUUUGACUUGAGGCAUCAUAGUUGUCUUGUGGUUAGGUCCUUGAUCUUUGACUAUGUCAAAGUCACUCUAUCAAAGGGUGUCCA
Molecule: long non-coding RNA, 3325 nt
Filed under: Malus domestica (apple)
Lineage: Eukaryota; Viridiplantae; Streptophyta; Magnoliopsida; Rosales; Rosaceae
Description: long non-coding RNA (MDOM_LNC018209)
Source: RNAcentral